This 367-nucleotide ribosomal RNA is filed under the name uncultured bacterium. Its description in RNAcentral is "bacterial SSU rRNA". It matches the Rfam family "Bacterial small subunit ribosomal RNA", at positions 29 to 416 of the family's 1533-position model. The record is from RNAcentral.
AGCGAACGCUAGCGGCGGGCCUAACACAUGCAAGUCGAGCGCAUACCUUCGGGUAUGAGCGGCGGACGGGUGAGUAACACGUAGGUAAUCUACCCUUUGGUGGGGAAUAACCCGGGGAAACUCGGGCUAAUGCCGCACGAGGUCUACGGAUCAAAGCCUUCGGGCGCCAGAGGAUGAGCCUGCGUUGCAUUACCUAGUUGGCGGGGUAACGGCCCACCAAGGGGACGAUGCAUAGCUGGUCUGAGAGGAUGAUCAGCCACACUGGGACUGAGACACGGCCCAGACUCCUACGGGAGGCAGCAGUGGGGAAUAAUUGCGCAAUGGGGGAAACCGUGACGCAGCUACGCCGCGUGGGUGGAUGAAGGCC